AUUGAACGCUGGCGGCAGGCUUAACACAUGCAAGUCGCACGAGUGGCGGACGGGUGAGUAAUGCUUUGGGAUCUAGCUUAUGGAGGGGGAUAACUACGGGCAACUGUAGCUAAUACCGCGUACCAUAGGAUGAGCCCAAGUGGGAUUAGGUAGUUGGUGAGGUAAAGGCUCACCAAGCAGACGAUCUCUAGAUGGUCUUAGAGGAGUACCAGCCAUACUGUGACUGGUACACGGCCCAGCCUCCUACGGGAGGAAGCAGUGGGGAAGAUUGCGCAAUGGGGGCAACCUGACGCAGCCAUGCAGCGUGAAUGAAGAAGGCCUUCGGGUUGUAAAGUUCUUUCGGUAGCUAGGCGUUAACUACAGAAGAAGCACCGGCUAACUCCGGGCCAGCAGCCGCGGUAAUAC
This 405-nucleotide ribosomal RNA is filed under the name uncultured bacterium. Its description in RNAcentral is "partial 16S ribosomal RNA". It matches the Rfam family "Bacterial small subunit ribosomal RNA", at positions 30 to 526 of the family's 1533-position model. The record is from RNAcentral.